UGGAAGUGAUAAGCUUUAUUAUAACAAUUUUAUGAUGAAAAGAAUUUCUCUAGAUAGUAAAGUACUGAUCCAG
Xenopus laevis (African clawed frog) is the source of this 73-nucleotide small nucleolar RNA. RefSeq annotates it as small nucleolar RNA SNORD20. The record is from RefSeq and is a predicted model, not a curated record. The transcript has a single exon. Lineage: Eukaryota; Metazoa; Chordata; Amphibia; Anura; Pipidae.